Molecule: ribosomal RNA, 446 nt
Filed under: uncultured bacterium
Lineage: Bacteria
Description: bacterial SSU rRNA
Rfam family: Bacterial small subunit ribosomal RNA
Source: RNAcentral
UUCCAGACUCCUACGGGAGGCAGCAGUGGGGAAUAUUGCACAAUGGGGGAAACCCUGAUGCAGCAACGCCGCGUGAGGGAAGACGGUCUUCGGAUUGUAAACCUCUGUCUUUGGGGAAGAAAAUGACGGUACCCAAAGAGGAAGCUCCGGCUAACUACGUGCCAGCAGCCGCGGUAAUACGUAGGGAGCAAGCGUUGUCCGGAAUUACUGGGCGUAAAGGGCGCGUAGGUGGGCGCUUAAGUCAGGUGUGAAAACUCCGGGCUCAACCUGGAGACUGCACUUGAAACUGGGUGUCUUGAGGGCAGGAGAGGAAAGUGGAAUUCCUAGUGUAGCGGUGAAAUGCGUAGAUAUUAGGAGGAACACCAGUGGCGAAGGCGACUUUCUGGACUGUACCUGGCGCUGAGGCGCGAAAGCGUGGGUAGCGAACGGGAUUAGAUACCCUCGUA